This 1076-nucleotide ribosomal RNA is filed under the name Bacillus subtilis. Its description in RNAcentral is "bacterial SSU rRNA". It matches the Rfam family "Bacterial small subunit ribosomal RNA", at positions 48 to 1095 of the family's 1533-position model. The record is from RNAcentral. Lineage: Bacteria; Bacillati; Bacillota; Bacilli; Caryophanales; Bacillaceae.
CCAAAACAUGCAAGUCGAGCGGACAGAUGGGAGCUUGCUCCCUGAUGUUAGCGGCGGACGGGUGAGUAACACGUGGGUAACCUGCCUGUAAGACUGGGAUAACUCCGGGAAACCGGGGCUAAUACCGGAUGGUUGUUUGAACCGCAUGGUUCAAACAUAAAAGGUGGCUUCGGCUACCACUUACAGAUGGACCCGCGGCGCAUUAGCUAGUUGGUGAGGUAACGGCUCACCAAGGCAACGAUGCGUAGCCGACCUGAGAGGGUGAUCGGCCACACUGGGACUGAGACACGGCCCAGACUCCUACGGGAGGCAGCAGUAGGGAAUCUUCCGCAAUGGACGAAAGUCUGACGGAGCAACGCCGCGUGAGUGAUGAAGGUUUUCGGAUCGUAAAGCUCUGUUGUUAGGGAAGAACAAGUACCGUUCGAAUAGGGCGGUACCUUGACGGUACCUAACCAGAAAGCCACGGCUAACUACGUGCCAGCAGCCGCGGUAAUACGUAGGUGGCAAGCGUUGUCCGGAAUUAUUGGGCGUAAAGGGCUCGCAGGCGGUUUCUUAAGUCUGAUGUGAAAGCCCCCGGCUCAACCGGGGAGGGUCAUUGGAAACUGGGGAACUUGAGUGCAGAAGAGGAGAGUGGAAUUCCACGUGUAGCGGUGAAAUGCGUAGAGAUGUGGAGGAACACCAGUGGCGAAGGCGACUCUCUGGUCUGUAACUGACGCUGAGGAGCGAAAGCGUGGGGAGCGAACAGGAUUAGAUACCCUGGUAGUCCACGCCGUAAACGAUGAGUGCUAAGUGUUAGGGGGGUUUCCGCCCCUUAGUGCUGCAGCUAACGCAUUAAGCACUCCGCCUGGGGAGUACGGUCGCAAGACUGAAACUCAAAGGAAUUGACGGGGGCCCGCACAACCGGUGGAGCAUGUGGUUUAAUUCGAAGCAACGCGAAGAACCUUACCAGGUCUUGACAUCCUCUGACAAUCCUAAAAGAUAGGACGUCCCCCUUCCGGGGGCAGAGUGACAAGUUGUUGCAUGGGUGGUCGUCAGCUUCCUGUCCUUGAGAUGUUUGGGUUAAUUCCCCGAAACGG